GUCUGUGUUAGUCUGGAAGCUCCACUGAAACCUGUCCAUCAUGGGUGACCCUGCUGGUAUUUGAAAUCCUGGUGUCAUAGGGUUCAGCAUCACAGCAACAUGCAGCCACCAUAGUAUUACAACCUACAGAUGGUGGUGUGCUUCCCUGACUGGGAAAUGAACCCAGCUGCAACAGUGAGAACGCCAAACCUUAACCACUAGACCAUCAGAGUAGGCCAUUCAUACACGAAAACUCAUGUUUUUCAGUCCUGGGAAAUUUUAUUAAAUUACUUCCUUGUUAUGUCCUCCACAUUUUAUCUUUUCUUUCACUCUAGAAUUCCUAUAUUUUAAGUCAGGGCUCUCAAAUUGAUCCUCCGACUUUUCCAUCAUUUUGUCAUUUCACAUAUUCUGGGAGAUUUCUUCAACGUUACCUUCUAACUCUUAAACUGAUGGUUUUUUCUAUUGUUCUAUUUUUACAUUACAAGAGUCCUGUCUGGCUUUCUCAUGUUAUUUUCUGGUUUGUUGUCUUUGUAGUUGUUGUUGUUGCUUUUAGUAAGGCUAUCCUAUUUUUGUUUUAUGGAUAUGCUAUCUGCUUUUACGUAUCUGAGAACAUGGAUCAUAGCUAUGUUUUUUGCUUCGUUUGUUUUAUCCUGUUUUAAUUUUAAAUUUUCUCUUGCUCCCCAUAUUAUUUCCAUAUUCUCAAAUUUACUUUUAUUCACUUUGGUUCAUUUUUGUCACUGUCAUUCAUGUUUGUGGCUUUUCUCAAUUGUGCAGUGAUCUUGGCUUAAUGGAAUAUUUAGGAUUGAGGCACUGAGAAACUAAAUGGGACUUCUGUGUGUGAAGGUGGAUUGUCAAUAAUUGAGUUCACUAUCAUAUAUCAGGGCCUGACCUUUUCACUGGGGGACAUCCAAAUGUCAGCAUCUAUAGAUCGUUUCUCUAGGGCCAGCCAACUUCUGCAGAGAAGAAUGUCCCAAUCUUCUGCCCUGCCAAGGACAGGCAGCACGUACCUGGCUACAAGCAUCCUUGAACUGCAAGGGCUGGGAGAUGGACAGGGGGAGCCAUAGGUUCUGACAUUUUAGGAUAUGGCCUUUCACUUCAUACCCCCAUUAUCAUUUAGGAAAAUUGCUCCUGCUCGUUACCAUGCCAACUGUUCCCAAAUCCAGAUUCUCAUAAGUUCGGUUUCUCUAGAAAAACCUCCUGCUUUCAGCAAGGAUUUAAAAGGCAUUCUGGGGAUCCAGCUGCCCCUAAUGAAGACCUUUAGUCACUCCUCCUGUAUCUCUGCUUUCAGGUACCUGGUGCCUCGAUUUCCUGAGGCUUUCUGUGGAGUCCUGCCGCAGGGACUGCUUGCUCCUUAUUGAAUUACCCCUCUACAAACUCUUAAUUUCAGCUUUUUCUACUCUACUCAGAUUUCUAUGCUUCCAUCUACAAAGAUAGAAAGUGUUCUAUCUUUCCAAAAUAUUGUUUAAUUUUGUCAUCUCUCACACUAUUUUUGUCCAUGUGAGUUUGAAGCCUUUUUUUCCCUAAAAGUGGUAUUUCCAGAGAUAUAAGCAGAUGUUCAAUUUGCCAUGUUUAAUAGAAAGACUCCAAAUUUCAGUCUAGGUCUUGGCAGAGAACAGACGACAAACUCCAGCUGGAUAACUGAGGAGAGUUUAACGAAGUGUCUACUAAGGAAAGUGUGGACAAGAAUGGCUUAGUACUCUGCUAAUGACAGACUAAUGGCUAAAGAUUAAAUGGAGCCAUUACUACCCCUAAGAAUAACGAACAAAAAGAAAGAGAAGUUACCAGAACCCAAAGAAAAAGCUGCAUGGAGAGAGCUGUUGAACGUGAGAUGUGACCCUAUGCUAGAUCGUCAAAAUGACCACAGUUCUUCACUUCUUCUCGUAUCCACACUGUUUGCAGUUCUGUAGUUCUUUUUACUAAAGGACAGAGUCUAUUUCCCCCAUCUCCUGACUAUGGGCUGAUCUUGUGUUAUAUUAGUCAACAUAAUGUAGCAGAAUUGAAGAUGAGGCAGUUUCAAGUGAAGAUGGGGCCUCAAGACACUUGGUGUGUGUCAGUUUGCUCUCUGGGAACCCUGCCCAGCUUCCAUGAGAAUAGCCUUGAGCUAGUUUGCUGGAUGAUAAGACACAAACAUCCCUAUCUCCGCUGUUGUCCCAACUGACAAGAGCCAACAGCCAAAUUUUGAAGUGAGGCCAUCCUACGCCAGCCAGUACUCAGCCAACCUACACACUGACUGCAGAUUCAAAAAUGAUGUGGCCAAGCCAGGCCAAGACCAGAACUAACCAACUGAACCAACAUAAUUUUCCACCCCACAGAAUCUCAAGCUGCAUAAAUGGUUGUUUAAGUCACUAGGCUGGGAAAUACUUUUUAAUGCAGCAAUAGCUGACUGAUAAAAGAUUUUAGUCAAGGGAAGCAGCCAACAUACAGUGACAAGGUAGGAAGGAAGUCAUAAGAAUAAAUGCUCUGACCUUACCCUUCCUGUCCUUCAGACCACCUGUGAGUGCCUCCUUUUCAUCUAACUGGAGAGUGAGAGAACCCAUUCAUGCAUUUCAGAUAGGUCAGCCUCCCGGUGCACAGAGCAGGAAGAAGAAGAUAGAGAGUAGACGUGGAAGGAUAAAAUAGAAGAGAUUGACCAUACUCACUCACCUAUUUUUAAGUUUGAAGAAUAUCUGGAGAUUUUGGCCAAAAUGUCUGCAGUUACAUUGGAGACUCCAAAAAGAGUCACAAAACAAGAUUUAGGAACAAAGAGUUUUUAGUCAAUAGUGAUAGGAAAUGGAUGGGAAGGAGUGUGUUUAUUCCAAAUAUAUUAAUACCAGUUCUACUUUCCUGUAUAGACUCAGGCCAAAGAUUAAUAUCUUGUACUGCCUUCCCAACAUAUAUUUAUAAUAAUGAAUUAUAAAUUAUACACAAGAGGUAGGAUCUGUUUAAAAUAUUGUGUCAGGCCUCAGUUAAACAAAAAUCCAGCCAAUCUAAACAAAAUUCAAAUAAACAGAAUUGCAAUCUCACUUAAUGUUUAAAGAAGAAAAAAAUAUGUGAGAAUAUUAAUCAGUUUGAAUCAGGUAUGGCUGCAAGCAAUAUAAAGCGUAAAAUAACAUGACUUAAAAUAGAACUUUAUUUCUCUCACGUACAUUGAAGUCUAGAGGUAAGCAGUUCAGGGCUAGACUGGCCUUUCCAAAACCCAGGCUCAUUCUAACUUAUUGCUUCACCAUUCUCAACCUGUGGCUUCCACAUCAGGGUCCCAAAUGACUGCAAGCUCCAGUCAUGGCAUCUGCGUUCCAGGCAGUCAGAAGAAGAGAAGGGAAUAAAAGAAGAGCAUAUCUCCUCAGUAUUGACACUUCCUUCAAGCUGCAUAUAUCUCUCCUACUUAACAUCCCAUUGUUCAGAGCUUAGCAACCUGAUGGCCCCUAGCUAUAAAUAAAGCUAAAAAGUGCAAACUUUAUUCUAUAAGGCCAUGCACACAUCUGAAAACUUGGGGCCUGGUAUAAGUGGAAAAAAGGAAAAACAGAUAAUAGGGAACAACCAGUAAGUAGUUUUUGCCUCAACCUUUAUUAAUUAAUGUUAAUUAUUUGCCCAAAACCCAGCUUCUAACAUCAUGUUAUAAUCGAUUCAUAGUCUGCUUCGCAGCCAACUUAUACACGUCUAUAGUCAAAUAUUCACUGAGGAUCAGAUUGAUGAUUCGGAAACUGUGAACAUCUUCAAUGAUCAAAGAUUCAAUUUUUUGUGUGACAUUGAUUUCCUAAGUCAGGAAUGUGGAGAAGAUGCUUUGUUUUGGUAAGAAUGUUCAGCAGUGUCUUCUAUUUUACCCACUGUAAAUAUUAGAGAUAAUUUUGCCUGAAAGUCAUAGAAUAGUGGCUUAAACUUUGUAGAAAUUUAUUUCUCUCAUGCACAAAAGUCUAGCAGUAUAUAUUCCAGGAUGUAAGAAUGGCUUCAUAAAGACAUGACAUACCCAGGGUCCUUCUUUCUUUUUCUCUGCCAUCCUCAUCCUGUGGCUUCCACCUAUGGUGCAAGACAUUUAUUCAAGUUUCACCUGUCACAUACAUAUUCCAGCUGGCAGGAAGUAAUCAGGAACAAGGACAGGUGCAUACCUGCUCCUUUAGUGGCAUUUCAUGGCCACAGAAGGGUGGUGGGCACGGGAAGUGGGUAGAGGAUCGGGAAGAGGUAGAAUAAAAUUCACCAAGUGUUGAUGACUGUUAGGCUGGGCAGUGGGUACAUAGAGAUUUAUUAUAUUAUUCUCUCUACUUUUGUCAAAGUUUGCAAUUUUUCACAAUAAAACAGGUAAAAAUUAAUAAAAUAAAAUGAAAAAUAUCAAAACGAUACCCCUGGAAGCUGCAAAUGGCUUCUCUUUACAUACCAAGAGCUAAACUUUAUCAUAUGCCCAUACUAGCUGUCAGGAAGGCCAGAUAACAUAGUCUUUGGUUCUUGGGUCCAUGUGCCCAGUUACAAAUAGCUUUAUUUUAUCACAUAAAAAGAAAGGGAGCAUCAAUAUUGGGAGACCACUGACAGCCUCCGCUAUCCUCCCAUAUAAAAGAAUGUGGGCCUAAAGUUAAUAAUUAACAUCUGUGUCUCUUAAUGCUCUCAAUAAAAUGAAGGUGGCAAUACUCUCCAGCAUGUAUAUAAAAUGAUGUAGUAACAGCAAAACCUGGGCCAGAGGACCUGACUGGUAGUAAACAUUUGAUUUAUGCUAACUUCUUUGACGACCAAAUGUCUUAUAUAUAAAUAUACAUAAACAGCACUUUGAUAAUACAGGUCACUUCACAAGUAUAAAAUAGUACUUACCCUCAUGAAUUAGAAACCUUUAUCCAAAAGCAAUGCUAUGUAUCAGGGUGUUAAUCAUCACACUACCUGAGCUUUCACUCGUUAUCUUUAACAGGAUCUCCAACACUGGAGUGCAUAAGAGUCUGCUAAGUGCUUGUACAAUACUCAGAUUCCUUGCUCCCACCCAAGACCUACUAAACCAGCAUUUUCCCGGGGGGGUUCCAAGAAUCUGUAUUUUCACAAGUAACCUUAACAUGUAAUUAAUUCCAAGGCAGUCAGUCUCCAGCAGAGGGAAAUGAGAAAGAGCAGGUAGCAUGUGUCCUGAGGUAUGAAGAUGCCAUUAGUAGAGUUAGAUUCAUUGAUCUUCAGAUUUGUUUUCCCAAGAAUGUAGAAACUGUUUUUGCUAUGAGUCUACUUCUCAGGAAAAUUCUAGCACAGCCUUGGGAGAGCAAGUGCAAGUCCAUGACAUUGCCCGUGGAGUGCCAUUUACCCUCCGCUGAAGUACUGGUCUCCAGAUUACACUGUAAGAAACACUGCCUUAAAAUAAAAGUACAGUCGUUUAACCCGAUCUCAUUGAAAACUCACUGUGAACAAUCUCACCCUUGACACUGGCUUACCGAUUCCUUAAUUUGCACAGAGAAUAUGUUGUGUGCAGUGAAGCCCUGUGAUGGAGGUGUAAGGGUGUAAAGUGACAAGAUGGGGGAAGAGGUAAGAUUGUAAUUCAAAAAUUAUUUACGAGCACAAAGAAGAGUCCUUAAGCCAAUCGUAAGAAAUAAGGCCAUUGAAGUUCUUCUUCAUACCUCUUCUCUGCACUGCCAGGUAUCAUUACUACCCAAGGAGCAUCUGACACAGCAUGCCCACCAGCCACACCUGCUUCCCUUCCAUUUGUGUUUCCACCACUCUCUGGGGAGGAAGAAAGCUGUCUAACCUGGUGACUCUGGAUGGGGCGUUCAGCAAACAGCAUUUCGUUUCUCAUCAAGUGAUUUCUUCCUAAGAAACCAUCACUGUUAUAAUAGCAAGUUGGUUGGAGGUGCAAAAGGAUGAAGGUGGACCCUUACCUCACAUCAUAUGCAAAAAUUAACUCAACAUGGAUCAAAGACCUAAAUGUUUAGAGCUAAAAUUAUAAAAGUCUUAGAAGAAAACAUAGGAGUGAAUCUUCAUGACUUCACUUUCGGUGAUGGAUUCUUACAUUUGGCACAAUCAACAAAAAAAUGUGGUCUCUUUACUGGAGCAAAUCAAUACCUACUAAAGAACCUGGUAUGCAGCACUGAUCUGGAAAAUGCUUGAUUUUCAAAACAUGAAGCAGAAAUCACCAGAAAGUUUAUUUUCACUAACUUCUUGCUUUAGGACUACAUCAACUAUCGAAACUUUUGCCAUAAUUUUGUUCACAAGGAUUUUGUGUCACCGUUUCAUAGAACAUCAUGCUGGUCCACUGUAUUGAUGAUAUCACAUGAAUAGAACCUGGUGAACCAGAAGUAGCCAGUCCCUAAAUGCCUUGAUAAGACAUAGUCGUGACUGCGGAUGGACAAUAAAUUCCAAGACGAUUCAACUUGGUGAACCUUCUGGAAGUCCAGUGGUCUAGACUGGAUAUCUUCCAAAGUGAAAGACAAUUUGCUCCAUGUUACAUCCUCCACCACUACAGAAAAGGCCCAGUACUUGGUUGAGCCUUCUGAAAUCAACACAUGGCAUGUUGGAUGUGUUGCUCUGAUUGAUUUACAAAGGAUGGAACUCUUUCUAGAGUCCAGAACAAGAGAAAGUCUCUAGCUGGUCCAGGCUACAGUGCCAGCAGCUCUGGCACUGGGUCCUUUUGGCUGAGAGGAUUUGUUGAUACUUGUAAUACCCAUGGAAAAUUGGAAUUUGUGAGUAAUCUUAUUUUGUGAAAAGUUCAACAAUGAUUUUUGGACAAAACAAUAUUAAUAUAUGUUUGAGAGUUAAAGAUACUUCAUCAUAAUGAUAUA
Molecule: non-coding RNA, 6689 nt
Organism: Equus caballus (horse)
Lineage: Eukaryota; Metazoa; Chordata; Mammalia; Perissodactyla; Equidae
Source: RefSeq, a predicted model, not a curated record